This 497-nucleotide ribosomal RNA is filed under the name uncultured bacterium. Its description in RNAcentral is "partial 16S ribosomal RNA". It matches the Rfam family "Bacterial small subunit ribosomal RNA", at positions 28 to 507 of the family's 1533-position model. The record is from RNAcentral.
GAUGAACGCUGGCGGCGUGCCUAAUACAUGCAAGUCGAGCGAACGGACGAGAAGCUUGCUUCUCUAAUGUUAGCGGCGGACGGGUGAGUAACACGUGGAUAACCUACCUAUAAGACUGGGAUAACUUCGGGAAACCGUAGCUAAUACCGGAUAAUAUUUUGAACCGCAUGGUUCAAAAGUGAAAGACGGUAUUGCUGUCACUUAUAGAUGGAUCCGCGCUGCAUUAGCUAGUUGGGAAGGUAACGGCUUACCAAGGCAACGAAGCAUAGCCGACCUGAGAGGGUGACCGGCCACACUGGAACUGAGCCACGGUCCAGACCCCUACGGGAGGCAGCGGUAGGGAAUCUUCCGCAAGGGGCGAAAGCCUGACGGAGCAACGCCGCGUGAGUGAUGAAGGUCUUCGGAUCGUAAAACUCUGUUAUUAGGGAAGAACAUAUGUGUAAGUAACUGUGCACAUCUUGACGGUACCUAAUCAGAAAGCCACGGCUAACUACGUG